UACGGGGGGGGCGAGCGUUGUUCGGAAUUACUGGGCGUAAAGGGCGCGUAGGCGGUCUGCUAAGUUGGAUGUGAAAACUCUGGGCUUAACCCAGAGCCUGCAUUCAAAACUGACAGGCUAGAGUUCUGGAGGGGAUAGCGGAAUUCCUGGUGUAGCGGUGAAAUGCGUAGAUAUCGUCUGGAACGCCGAAGGUGAAAACAGCUCGCUGGGGUUGUGCUGACGCUGAGACACGAAAGCCAGGGGAGCGAACGGG
Molecule: ribosomal RNA, 253 nt
Filed under: uncultured bacterium
Lineage: Bacteria
Description: partial 16S ribosomal RNA
Rfam family: Bacterial small subunit ribosomal RNA
Source: RNAcentral